RNAcentral lists this long non-coding RNA (796 nucleotides) under Cyanistes caeruleus (blue tit). RNAcentral's name for it is "lncRNA (ENSCCEG00000002225.1)". Lineage: Eukaryota; Metazoa; Chordata; Aves; Passeriformes; Paridae. The record is from RNAcentral.
GGGCAGGGCAGUUCCAAUCCAUCUUCCCGUUGUCUCGUGUUUCACGUCAUCGGCCAUCUCAGCCUCUCGACGUCAUCGUGGAUUUUUUCGCCUGAGGAACCGGCCUUCGCAUCCACAGCUAUCGCCGCGUUCACCCGGCAGACAUCGCCUGCGACUGCCUUGUCUCUGAUGCCUAUUUUCUGAGGAUCUACCGUUUGAUGUUGAGAAGCAGCAGUGAGAAGAUAUCUCAGGGCAUUUUGUUCAGCAGAGUGUUUCAAAUAAGGGUUGCGGUCACUGUGCGAGUUAGUCUCCUGCUGCGUGUCAGAGUGUUUCAAAUAAGGGUUGCGGUCACUGUGCGAGUUAGUCUCCUGCUGCGUGUCAGAGUGUGUCUGUCUGUGAGAGUCGGUGGGUCAGGGUCUGCUUGUGUGCAUGUGUGUCGAGUGGUUCUAACCUCGUAUGUAUGGCUUUUGCUUUCCAGGACUUGCAAUUCACUUUUAAAUUUAGAAUAAAAAAUCCCCAGCUGGGGGGUUUUUUUUUUUUUCCCUCCCAGCUGGGGUUUUUUUUCCUCGGUCCCGGCCGGUCUGCGAGGCGACAGUCAUCGCCAAAGUUUGGGCACGGGCCGGCCCCGGACCGAGGUUUUCGUCAGGCAGGCUGAAUUUGAGGCCCCCCGGGAACCGAGUUCCCGUGGGGUAGGAGGGGGGUGUGUGUUUGUGUCGAGUGGUUCUAACCUGGUAUGUAUGGCUUUUGCUUUUCAGGACUUGCAAUUCACUUUUAAAUUUAGAAUAAAAAAUCCCCAGCUGGGGGGGUUUUUUUUUUC